UUCAUCACCUUCCCUGGCCACAGAAGACCCCUCUACAUCAAGGAGGAGUUUUACAAGAUUGCAGCUUUCCCUAACAUCAUUGGGGCAGUGGAUUGCACACACAUAAGAAUCAGACGCCCCUCAGGUGAACAUGAGGGAGAUUACAUUAACAGGAAAUCCUUCCACAGCAUCAAUGUUCAGAUGAUCUGUGAUGCUGACUGCCUUGUGAGCAAUUUAGAGGCAAA
Long non-coding RNA from Melanotaenia boesemani (Boeseman's rainbowfish), 224 nucleotides. RefSeq lists it as uncharacterized. NCBI's taxonomy places the organism in Eukaryota, Metazoa, Chordata, Actinopteri, Atheriniformes, Melanotaeniidae. The record is from RefSeq and is a predicted model, not a curated record. The transcript has 3 exons.